This is an RNA transcript of Eriocheir sinensis (Chinese mitten crab), 17470 nucleotides long. RefSeq lists it as uncharacterized. The transcript is spliced from 2 exons. The record is from RefSeq and is a predicted model, not a curated record. NCBI's taxonomy places the organism in Eukaryota, Metazoa, Arthropoda, Malacostraca, Decapoda, Varunidae.
AAGGGACGGGCAGCCUGGUCCCACCAGCUGUUUGACCUCUCCACUCAACCACUCCCCCAGAAGUACACAAGCCCCAUAGCCCUCAGACCUGAGAAAGUGCGUGACCUACAAUCUCUCCUCACACUCAUGCCCCAAAAUGCCCAUCCAUUCUACCGGUCCAUCAUCGACGCCCAAGCAGGUGAUGUCGAUAGCACUCAAGAUGAUGGUGAACACGACAACUUGGAUGAACUGUUGGAGUACGAAUCGUAAAGGCAUUGAGGGGUGGGGGGGAGGGGGGAAGUGUGUAAUAAACAAUGAAAGUUAGUGAUACCUGUAAUAAAGAAAGGGAAAGUUAGUGUUACCUCAAGAUUGUGUGAAGUGAGAAGUGCAAGAUACCAAGACACCAAUAUCAUUGAACAUAGCUGAGUAAAAACUAAAAAAAAAAAAAAAAAAUACGAAUCAAUAAUGGAAAUGUUUAUUUUUUUACAGAUGAUGAUUUUUUUAUUUCCUCUGUUUUAAUGUCAUGUUAUAGGUGUGUUUCAGGGCUUUAAUUUGGUGUAUAUAACUUUACUCUAGCUUUAUUGUACGGCUAUUGACAUUUUCGUUAAAGUUACAAAACUUUGACCUUCAUUUCUGGCGAAUUAUUGAUUUUGGCACUUAGUACUCUUCUGCCGCGGGGGGCCUCAAUUACAGUCACGCAUAGCUCAAUAAAAAGGCAUAUUUCUUUCUCGUCAAUGGCUUGCCUGAACGUGGGGUGAAAGAAGCCGAGAAUCCACAUCCAAAGUGCACACACGGCCGCAGCUUUAGUCACCCGUGAACUGGUGGGUACUUGGAUUCAAUUGACGUCACCCCGCAGCUCCACCCCAAACCGCCCCCUGCGUGUGCUAGUAGCAGUUUUGAAGGCAGAAUGCCUUGACUUGGUAUAUAUAGACUUUGGUUGUGUCAUUUCCUGCCCACUGGUGGACGGGGCAGUAACAGGUGUGGAACGUGUCGCAGCAGUGCACAUGGUCAGAGCUGGUGGACCUGAGGUGGUUGCCCCAUCAUCAUCACUACUCAUAUUAUGCCAAUCAGAAUCACUGUCACUCUACUCAAAAUCACUUUCCAGAGUUACGAGAGAAAUAUCAAGUUCAUGUUCUAAUGCACUGUCGGAAGGUCUAGCACUUGAACAAUCAGUAUGUGAUGAAUUAGCUAUCGGAGUGGACAUAGCCACUGGCCGCACGGACCGACGAGUCGUUUUGAAUGCAGAUGUUCUAUUUUUACACAUCCAUCCACUAAGAAAGCCUCAGACACACUGACUCACUAAUAAAAGUACUCAGGACAAGUGUUGACAUAUUUAGGGAGGAAAAAAUUUGUGAGAAUGGCUAACAUGAGCGAAAUAUAAGCAGAGUGGCGAUCACCGCCACCCAUCCUCUGACAAUUGAGUGGCGAUUGCCGCUCCCCGUCCCGUAGGGGUUAAAUUCAUGAAUUGUCUUUGUGUGGACCACAUCUUUUUCAGGCUGUCCCAGGCCUCCACCACUCUCUGUGGAAAGCUAUUCUUCUUUAUGUCUUCUACAGGCUUCCUUUUUCAUCUUCCUUUCAUGGCCUCUUGAUUCUCUUGUAUCCCAUAUUAUUAGAUCUUCUUGGUCCACUUUUUCCAUCCCACUCAGUACUCUAUAUACCGCAAUCAGAUUGCCUCUCUCCCUCCUCUCUUCCAGUGUCAGUAUGUUCAGCUGUUUCAAUCUCUUGGUAUGUUAACCCCUCAGAGCCGCAAAAGUUUUUCUCGGGUGAUCUCCCAUGACACAAAAGUCAUCGAAAAAUACACUUUGAAACUGAGCAAAAGUUAUAAAAAAAUCCUUUUUUUUUUUUUUUUUUUUCUAGGUUGUUGCAUUUGGCUGGAAUUCCAUGAUUCCUGAAAAAUUCUAAUUUUUUUACUGGUGCGACGUACAGAAAAAAUAUUGAAGAAAAGUUGCUCAUUUUAUCACAAUGGAGUCUGAAAAAUAUAGUUUAUAAUUUUUGACGAGGAAAUUUACUGCCUACAGAGCCAAAGUUGUGGUGAAACUCAAAAAAAUAUUUUUAUGUAGUUUUUCAUUCUGGAAUGAGACUCAUUGAAUAAAAGUUGUAGAAAAUCAUCCGUAUAACUCAACUGUGAAAUCAGAUUAUGAUUUGGACUGACCGUUUGGCUGGAAUUCCAUGAUUCCCAAAAAUUCCAAGUCUUUACUGGUGUAACGUACAAGAAAAUUUAUGUCAGAAAAGUUGCUUAUUUUAUCGCGAUGGAGUCUGAAAAAUAUAGUUUAUAAUCUUUGACCUGGAAAUUCAAUGCCUACAGAGAGACAAAGUUGCAGUGGAACUUGAAAAAAUAAAAGUUGUAGAAAAUCAUCUAUAUAACUCAACUGUGAAAUCAGAUUAUGAUCUGGACAGACUGUUUGUCUGGAAUUCCAUGAUUCCCAAAAAAUUCCAACUUCUGCUUCUCACUCUUUUGAACACUCCUGUGAACAAGAUAUUGGUUCAUCAAGAACAGGGGUUCCCAACCUGGGGUACAUGUACCCCCAGUGGUACAUUUGCACUUUUCAGGGGGUACAUUGGGUCCGAGAGAAUAACCGCUACUGUACAAUACAUCUGCAUUCAAAUUGCACAAUGUCGUGUUUUUGUUUCAAUUUCCUCAUUUUAGUAAGCAAAACUGUUAUUUAAAUUAUAUCAUCAGUCUAUACAUACAGUUUUCAUUACAAAACAAUAUCAAAAUAUUACAAUUUCAUCGUUUUUUUAUCCUUAAUUUUUAGGGGUACACGGGAACCUAUAAAAAUGCCCAAGGGGUACAGAGGAACAAAAAGGUUGGGAUCCCCUGAUCUAGAACAUCAGGUAAAUCAGUGGAGGUGUCAAGACUAUGCUCAGCACGCACACGACAAGCAGAAACUAAAGGAAGACCACAAAAAAAGAUAGUCUGAGGGAAUAUAAUCGCUCUGCAGACGCCAUGAUGCGUAAGGUGGAACUGUAGACUAUUUUUAGCACGGAGUUGUCUAAGGGGCAAAAAAGAGGUGCCAGUUAGUCGCUUAGGAUCGUCAUAUACAUAGUUACGCACUCUGUUCAAUUUCCAGAGAACUUCUCAUUUUCCGGCGCUGGCGUCAUGCUUGUCGCCAUCGUCAGAAAAAAUUAUAUGAUGCCAGCGUCAUAGUCGUUGUUAAGGGGUUAAGUCUCUUAGUCCUGGAACCAGCUUUUUUGCUGCCCUCUGAGUCCUUUCUACUUUCCUUAUAUUUGUCUUUGUACUCGGUGACCACAUACUAUUGCUGCGUAUUCCAAUCUUGAACGUAUCAUGGUUACAAUCAGUUUCUUCAUCAUUUCCUCAUCCAGAUAUUGAAUAAGAACUUUCAUGUUUCUCACUAGGUUGUAUGUCACCUACAUUUCUAUUUAUAUGUUUCUCUGGCGACAAAUUAUCCGAAACAGUUACAGUAAUCCCUCAUCUAUCGCAGGGGUUAGGUUCCAGAACCCCCGCGAUAGGCGAAAAUCCGCGAAGUAGCAACCUUAUAUUUUUAAAAUUAUUUAUAUGUAUUUUAAGGCUUUAUAAACCCUCCCCACACUCUUACAAAUCUUUCCCACACUCCUAUUGACCUUUCCCACACUUAUGGAAAACAGAGCAAACUUAGAUACCAAUGCAGAAUCUGUCGUUCAAAAGAACAUAUAAGACCCUUGUGUCCCUCAGCUGACAAGAAAGAUAAGGCUAAACCUCAAAUUAAGACAAAUAUAAGCUUGUGCCUGGCUCAAAGAAGUUUCGACUCUUGCCAAUUGCUGCCAACGAUGACUUUAACUUUAAAGAAUGGCAGAAAGAGUAGAAAGGUCAGAUGCCUUGUUGAUACCGGAAGCCAAAGAUCAUAUAUUUCGGAAACCGCUGCCAAAGACCUUUGCCCAGAUGUGAAUAAAUUGUUUUCCCUAGAUUGCUAUGUUGGAACCUACAUAACAUUGGUGCAGAAACAAAAAGCUUCAAACAAAUGGCUACAGGGAUUAAAUUAGAAGAUCGAUUCACUUUUGUUCCCUUAUUGGUGGACAAGACCUUGGACAUUACUUUUUACGUUCCAGGGAUGAACGCAUUCAUUUGCAAAUUCAAGGAAAAUAACAUAAAAUUGUUGGAUGAACACUUCUAUGAGGUCAAGAACCAUGAAACUAUCCAAGUUGAUAUGUUGCUAGGCAUUGACAUUUUACAGUCCAUGCCAUCAGUGUCCUGGCAAGAGAAAUUUGGAGGUAAAUGUUUAGUUAUGCACAACAAAGUAGCUCCCAUUGGAAAUGUAUUUAACUUUUUAAGUCCAGCAGAGCAGCAAUUUGUUUUGCGUCUCCUAACAAAAAAGGAUGAGAAAAACCUAUGCCACAAAACUAAAACAAUGGUUAAUGCUGUUUUAGACCCUAUAAAAUCAUAUUUCAACUCACUUGAACACCUUCUAGAGGACACAAGUGGACAAUGGACUGGAACAUCUUUUUAGUCUCGAGUCCUUAGGAAUUAAAACCACUGAUCAAGACUUAGUGUCCCUAGAAAACGAACAAAUAAAGCAGUUUGAAGAUGGUAUUACUUUCAAAGAGGGUCAUUAUAAUGUUGAGUUGCCAUGGUAUUCAAACAAAAUAGAUUCUGUUCCUUCAAAUCAUUCUGUUGCACUUAACGUGUUGGACCGAACUCUGGAACACUUAAAAAGAAAGGGGUUACUAGAAAAGUAUCAAGCUGUAUUUGACCAACAGCUGGCUGACGGCAUAAUAGAAGAAAUUGAAGUAAACCCUUCUCAGUACCAUCAAAGAUACCUCAUAGACCUGUCAUCAAAAUGUGGGAACAAGUAACAACUAAGAUAAGACCUGUGUUCAAUUGUUCUUUAAAAACCAAGAAGGAAUUACCUUCUCUUAAUGAGGCUGCCUACCCAGGUGUAGAUUUAAUGAAUAACAUUCUUCAGUUACUUUUCUAUUUUCGCACCAAUAAAUCAGUCAUGCUCAGUGAUGUAAAACAAGCCUUUUUGAUGAUUAAAUUAAAAAAAUGAAGUAGACCAGAAUAGGUUUUGCUUCUUUUGGAAAAGGGGCAAUAAAUUGGUCACCUACAGGUUCAAGACCAUAGUGUUUGGGUUCACCUCUUCCCCAUUCAUUUUGCACUAUGUGAUGAAACAUCAUGCAAGUUCAUUUCCUGAUGACAAAUUAAGCAAAAUAUUGGCAGAUAAUUUUUAUGUAGAUAAUCUAUUGGUAACAGGAAAGGAAAUUAAAGAAAUGAAGGAAUUAUAUAAUCUGGCAUAUGAGAGAAUGAAGGCAGGCAGGUUUACCUUAAGAUCUUGGAAUUCCAAUUCAACUGAAUUAAGAGAACAGAUGGAAAGUGAUGGAAGAUUAGUAGUACACUCCAGCGAAGAAGAAAAGGUGCUAGGGUACAGAUAUAAUGUUCAGCAGGAUUCCCUGAGCACAGCUCCAUACAAAAUAAAUCCAGAAGCAAACACAAAAAGACAAGUCCUUUCUCAAACUUCCAAACUAUUUGAUCCUUUGAAUUUGGCUCUACCUGUAACCAUAAGAGGAAAAUUAUUAAUGAGAAAAAUAUGGAAACUAGAAGGAGGCUGGGACGAACCCCUUCCUGAAGAGAUCUGUACUGAGAUGAAAAAAUUAAGUAGAGACUUGGAGAUGCUGUCAGAAGUGUCAUUUCCUAGACAAGCUCUAAACGAGCUAAACACAUAUGGGCUACAUACUUUUUGUGACAGUUCCGCUGAAGCGUAUGGCUUUGUUGCCUACGCUCUAGAUGGAGAGGGUAGAAGUACAUACCUACACUCUAAGUCUAAGGUAGCUACAUUAAAUAAGAGAAAUGAACACAGCAUCCCCACUCUAGAGCUCAUGGGUGUGAUAUCAGCUUUCAAAUGCUUACCUACAAUUUUAGAGGCUUAUCAACACAUCCAAAUUCAAUUUAUAAAUAUCUGUGUGGAUGCUCAGGUGGUGCUAAAUUGGCUUCUAACUAAGGAUACUAAAAUAAAAUCCAAAUUCUUGAAAAAUAGUGUUUGAAGCUGAUGGCCUGAAGACUGAAAUAAGUAAGAAAUUCAAGUUACCCAUAGCAUACCACUAUGUACACACUGAAGAGAACCUAGCAGAUAUGCUAACCAAAGGGUUAUCUUAUAGUAAAUAUCUAGAUAAAAUGAAGUUCUAGCUGGAGGGACCACAGUGGCUUACUAAUGAUUACCAACUGUGGCCUCAAUACCCUUUCUUGAGCAUAGCGCCUUCUCAAAAAGGCAAAAUAUGCACUGCUUGUACCUCUCAACCACCUAAAGUAAAUACAGGAGUAAUAAAUAUAAAUAAAUACUCUUCCUUGGAGGGCUUGUUGAGGUGCACAGCUUACCUAUACAAAUUUCUAAAUAAAAUAAAGGAGUGUGAUCUUAAAAAGAAGCCUUAGAGUAUUGGGUAAAGGUGGCUCAAAUUGAGUGCUUCCAGAAUGAACUGAACUUCUUGAACAAUCCAAAUAAUGCAAAUGAAAAAAAUAUUCCUCCUCUGGUAUCUAACCUCAACUUAUUUCUAGAUGAAAGAGGCAUUAUAAGGUCCAAAGGCAGGAUAAGUAAGUGUCAAUACUUCAGUUAUGACAUACAUCACCCUGUGUUACUCCCUAAGGAGCACAGGUUAACUACAUUGAUAAUAAAUGACUCAUAACAAAAUGCAACAUUUAGGCAUUGGAACUACCUUGAAUUAUUUAAGGGAACAAGGGUACUGGAUCCCUAAGGGUAGGAUGGCAGUCAAGAGAACACUAAGCUCUUAUAAUGUAUGUAAAAAGUAUAAUGCCUUGGCAUUUAACCCCAUCGCGCCGGAUGUUCAAAAAGCCCACCUGGCUGAUAUACGGCGUGCUCGGCUGCGCGCGGUGAAACCUGAGCCGGCAUGUAUCUGCUUGUCACCUCCGUACACUAUUCUGCUGAAAGCCCUCAUUACAUGUAUCCUGUAUUUGCAAAGCAGCAUACACGACGAGUCAACAUAUACCUGCUAUGCAUAAUAUAAAUUGCGUCAAUGCGAAAUAAAAAAAAAGUGAAAUAAAGAAAGGGAAGAAAGGGGCAAGGGGGAAAGAAAGAGAGAAAGCAGAUGAUUGUGUAGAGGAGGAAGAAUGUCGAGAAAUUAUCAGCAAAUACAACUCUGUUAUCAUCAGUCAGAGAGCUGCCAGAUACUCCUUUGUCAUCACAGACAAUGUAUGUCUGUACGUGUGUGUGUGUGUGUGUGUGUGUGAGAGAGAGAGAGAGAGAGAGAGAGAGAGAGAGAGAGAGAGAGAGAGAGAGAGAGAGAGAGAGAGAGAGAGAGAGAGAGAGAGAGAGAGAGAGAGAGAGAGAUGGGCGAGACGUGAUGGUGUCGGCGCCUCAGUGUCUGAGAGAGAGAGAGAGAGAGAGAGAGCCAAUGAGACUUCCUAACUUUAGACACAAGGUGGGAAGAAGGCGGUGCAUACUGUUGCUCAUUUUUUGUGAUUAGUGGGAACAAGGAUGGUGGGAGGAGCAAUAGGAUUUCAAGGACAGCAUACGGCGUCUUUACUUAGUAACCAACACAAAGUACGGGACAACUCAAUAGAAGAAGAAACAGAAUAGAAAUAUGACGCCUACGUAGGCGUCAUCGUAUAUGCUACUGGGGCUUCAUGACGCCUACGUAGGCAUCAUCGUAUAUGCUACUGGGGCUUCAUGGCGCCUACGUAGGUGUCAUCGUAUUGAAAGGGUUAAGUACCCAAAAUUCACAGAUAUGCCGAAGCAUCACAUGAACCUAAUUAAACCUUUUCAACAUGUCGGGGUAGAUUAUACUGGCCAUUUAUGGGUCAAAGAUGAACUUAGUGAUCAGUCAGUCAAGGUUUAUGUUUUGGUAUUCACUUGUCUUAAUAUUAAAGCUGUUCACUUUGAAUUAUUACCUGACAUGUCUACAAAGAAUUUUCUGUUGGCCUUUCAUAGAUUUUGUAACCUAUAUUCUAUUCCCCAUUACCUGUACAGUGAUAAUGCCAAAGCCUUCUUAAAAGGUGGCAACAUUUUAGAAAACUCCCUACAAUCCAAAGAAGUUCAAGAAGAACUGGAGAGAAUUAACAUCAAGCAUGUGAGAAUUCCCUUAUAUUCAGCAUGGGUAGGCUCUGCUUGGGAAAGGUUAAUAAGGGUGCUCAAGAAUUGUUUGUAUAAAGUAGUUGGAAGGGCCAAGGUGACAUACUUUGAGAUGUUAACAUCCUUGUCAAGCAUUCAGUUGGCCAUAAAUUCUAGACCCUUGACCUACCGAUCCAGUUCAGAAAGCUUGGAGUUAAUAACACCUAACUCCUUGAAACUUCAUGGGAACCCAUCUCUCGUAUUGAGGGGGGAUGAGGAAGUGUGGGUCGAUGACCAGAGCCAGCCCUCUUUAGAAAAGACUCUUGAAGUGCAAGAAGAAGUAUUAGAAAGCUUUAAAAAGUUGUGGUAUGAGAGUUAUCUACUCAGCUUAAGAGAACAUAGCAGAAACCUAUAUCAGUCAACUUGGGAAAACAAAAUUAAAAUAGGAGAUAUCGUUCUGAUUAAAGCUUUAAAUAAACCCAGACCCUUCUGGUCAAUGGGCACUGUCUUGCAAAUUAUUAAGGGAUUGGAUAAUAAAGUAAGAACAGUCAAGGUCAAACAAGGUAAUGGAGCAGUAGAAUUUCAUUCUAUAUAUAACCUUUAUCCGCUGGAGCUCACUAUAACUCAUCCGGGUAGAGAUUUGGUAUAUGAGCAGGGGGCCUCCCACAAUAAUGUCGACCCCACCCAAAGUGGUGGUUAUCGUGUCGGGGCGCCUUGGCCCAAAAGGAAGGCUACAGAGCGGUUUAACAAAAUGCUUAGGGAUAAUUUAGAUAAUUUGUAAAUAUCUUGGUUGUUUCAGUACUUCACCUACUAAGGCUGAAGACUUUGGAAUUAAUUUUGGGUAGUAGUUAGAAUUAUCAGGGUAAAAAAUAUGCUACACCUUCCAGGGAAGGAUUGAUUAAAAAAAUUGCUACACCUUCCUACAAGGUGAGGAAAGGGUAAGGGCAAGUCUAUUUGGAUGAGAUGUGCAACGAUCUCAACCCCCCUUAGUUGCAUUUCACUCUUUUUCGCUUACUAAGAUUAGUCCCCAUUUCUUAUCUUUAAAUAAAUAAAUAAUUACUCUAGAUGGUUAAUUGCGAUUUGGGGAAUCACAAUCUCCUCUGGGGAAUGUGUUAGGAAUUAGGUCAGUUAACCAGGGGAUUAGACAAAUUAACUAUUUCCCUUAUGGAACUAGUCUCGGGCCAAGAGUUCCAGCCAACUAAAAGUAUUGUCUGAGCUCAAAUAAGCCUUGGAUGGUACUUACAUACUUCACUCAUCGGCUCCCAGACUGAGACAGUAUCACCGUAUUCACUGCCUGAAGACUAAACACAUUUACCAUGAAAGGAAUAACAAUAGUUCAGUGUUUCCUUUCAUGAAAUAAUAAAUAACUGCCCUUGCGGAAUUAAAGAGCAAGGAUAAUUUAACCAAUCGAAAGCCACGCCAUCUGGCGAGGGAAAUUCAAAAUACCUCUUCAGACCCACGUGGUUGGCUUCCGACCCACAACAUAACCCGCUCUCAAGCAUUCAACACCUCAGCGCUUUCGCCCCACAUUAACUCGCGGCAGUGCUAUUUUAUACUUAGUCUCGAGGACUAAAGGACUCCUCUAGGACGAACUUCAACAGACCACUUCUUUUGAAACCCCAAAAAAGUGCCCUCCUACAGUGAUUACAAAUAGGUAUUACUAUCAGGCCUGUUAGGAUUAUCGUUGUAACGCUGGGAGGCGCUUGCAGGAAAAGCCCAGCACCCCUGCUGUAUUAGUGGUAAGUGGUUUGCGUUAUCUUUGUGGAGUUGUCCUGGAGGAGUUAAGUGUCUUGCGAGGAACAUAACCAUUGGGUACGGUAAAUUCACUGUAUCACAACAGGUUAAUCUGGAAACUAAAGCAGUGGGGAGGAAUGAACAGAAAGGUUAUUGAGUGGAUGAAGGAUUACUUAACAGGAAGAGAAAUGAGAAUGGUGAUUAGAGAAGAGAAAUCAAAUUGGAGGAGAGUAGAGAGUGGAGUUCCUGAAGGCUCAGUUCUGGUACCAAUAAUGUUCUUAAUAUAUAUAAAUGAUAUGCUAAAGCAUAUAAAAAGUUAUAUGAGCCUUUUUGCAGAUGAUGCAAAGUUAAUAAGAAAAGUAAGGAUGGAGGAAGACUGUGAAGAACUGCAAAAAGACCUGGAUAGAGUGUAUAGAUGGAGCCAGUUAUGGGAGAUGAAAUUUAAUGCAAACAAAUGCCAUGUUAUGGAAAUGAGGAAAGUAUAAAAAGACCAAGGAAAACAUAUUGGAUGGGAGAAGAAAACUUGGAGGUAGUACAUGAAGAAAAAGAUUUGGGAGUAACGAUGCAAGACACACUAUCCCCAGAAAAGCACAUAAACAAGCUAUUUGGAGAAACCUACAGGGUGAUGCAAAAUAUAAGGGUAUCAUUCCAUUUUAUGGACAAAGAAAUGAUGAAAAUAAUAACAACACUGAUAAGACCAAAACUUGAAUAUGCUGCAGUUGUGUGGUCACCUCACAAAAAGAAGGAUAUCAGAAAGUUCUAAAAAAUACAGAGAAUUGCAACUAAAAUGGUCCCAGAACUCUAAAAUAUAACGUAUGAAAACAGAUUGAAGGAGAUGGACUUGACAACACUGGUACAAAGAAUGGAGAGAGGAGAUCUGAUCACACUGUAUAAGUUGGUAAAUAAGUUUGAUGAGGUGGAUAGAGAUGAUCUCUACUGCGAGAACGCAGGGACUGAGAGGACAUGGAAAGAAACUUAAUAAAGGAACCUGUUUGAGUGACUUGAAAAAGUAUAGUUUUCCACAUAGAAGUGUUACACAUGGAACAGCUUGCAGGAAGAGGUGGUGGAGGUGAGCAGUGUCCAACAAAUGAAGGAAAGGCUGGAUGAAUGAAGAUAUGGAAACGGGACUAUUAGAGCUGAGCUCGGGCCUGGUAGACUACAAAUAGGUAAAUACAAACAAGUGAUACACACACACACACACACACACACACACACACACACACACACAUACACACAAAAUCUAACAGGAAAGGAGGAAGGAUGGAAAGUGUCAUCGUGGAUAGAGUUAAACGACUGUUUGAGAGACAAAGAACCUGAUAUUGUGGGGCUGACGGAAACCAAGUUGUGUGACCCAAUUGAGGUGGUGGGGAUUGGAGAAGGUGCAUACAAUAGAUGGAGGAGAGACAGAAAGAGAAAACAGGGAGGAGGUGUGAUGUUGAUGGUAAGGAAAGGCAUUAAGGUGGAGAAGGUGAUUGAGGGUGAAGGCUUGGCAGAGUUGCUGAAAGUGGAAACUGUGGGUGCUGAAGGAAGAAGGAGGCAGUAUGUAGUAGGGUAUGUGCCACCAAGAACCAAUGCAUGGAAGGCCCGAGAAUAUGAAGUAAUGAUACAAGACACAGUGAGUUGCUUAGAUGGAAUGUUAAGAGAGAGUGAGAGAAUAAUUUUGAUGGGUGAUUUUAAUUGCAAAGAGGUAGAAUGGGAGGAUUGGCAAACGCAGGGAACAGAAGAGUUGUGGGGAGGAAGACUCCUGCACCUGGCAAUGGAACAUGUGCUGAUGCAAUGGAUUAAGGAACAUAAUAGAUUCGGGAAAGGAGAGGCAUCAAGAUUAGAUCUGGUUUUUAGCAAGGAACUGGAAGUAAUAGAAAAUAUUAAAAUAGACUGCCCAAUAGCUAAGAGUGACCAUGCGAUUGUGGAAUUUGAAGUAAAAGAAAAGAGAAGGAUUGACUGAAAAGAGGAUCAUAAAAUAGGGAGAAGAAAUUACUCUAAGGCAGACUUUGUUAAUAUGAGAACUUUUUUUGAGAAUGCAAAUUGGAGUGGGCUGUACAAAGCCAGGAGUACACAAGACAGUUGGGAGGAGUUUUUAAAGCUGUACAAAGAAGCCGAGAAUAGAUAUGUCCCAAAGGUAACCAAAAAGGAUGUUGGUAAAAAGGAGUGGUUUAACAAAAGAUGCGAGGCAGCUAGAAAAAGAAAGGAGGAAGCCUGGAAGGGAUGGAGGAGAUGAGGAAGAAUCAACGCGUGGAACAAUUUCAAACAAGCAAGGAAUGAAUAUACAAAGAUUAGAAGAGAAGAAAAACGGAAAUAUGAAAAAGAUAUAAUCGACAAAUGCAAAGACCAACCUAAACUAUUCUAUAGACAUGUGAACGGCAAAUUAAAGAAUAGAGAAACAAUCGAUAAACUGAAAAUGGAUGGAACUGCAUAUGAAGACCCAGCAGAGAUGGCAGAAGUGAUGAACAACAGCUUUCAAAAAGUUUUCACAAAGGAAGACGAAUUCGUACAACCACCGGGCCAGGAAAGAGGAAGGGUUAUGCAGGAGAUACAGUUAACGGUGCAGGAGGUCAAGGAAAGCUUGAACAAGCUGGAUGUAAGAAAGGCGACAGGGCCGGAUGAAGUAUCAGGGUGGAUCCUGAAAGAAUGUAGUGAGCAACUUGCAGAGAAACUGCACUCAAUAAUGAGCGCCUCCCUGAGUGAAGGAAAGGUACCACAAGAUUGGAAGAGAGCAAACAUAGUACCAAUUUUUAAGGGAGGAAAGAGAGAGGACCCAUUAAAUUACAGACCGGUAUCACUCACUAGUGUGGUUGCAAAGAUAUGCGAGAGGCUGGUUAAAAAAGGUGGUCAGAUUUCUUAGAAAGUGAGAAAAUUAUCUCGGAUUGCCAAUUUGGAUUCAAGAGAGAGUGAUCUUGUGUCACCCAACUUGUUGUGUUAUUACUCAAGGGUGACAGAUUUAAUACAAGAAAGGGAAGGCUGGGGUGAUGGAGUGUACCUGGAUCUGAAAAAGGCAUUUGACAAAGUACCGUGCAGAAGACCAACUUGGAAAAUGAAAAAUAGGGGUGGAGUGGGUGAUGGACUGAUUAAAUGGCUGGAGGACUUCCUAACAGGAAAAUGAGGACGAUAAUCAGGGACAAGGUUUCCAACUGGUGCCCAGUGAUGAGUGGGGUCCCACAAGGUUUGGUGUUGGCGCCAAUAAUGUUUGCUGUUUAUAUAAAUGAUAUGGUGGACGGAGUGACCAGCUAUGUGAGUUUGUUUGCAGAUGAUGCAAAGCUAUUGAGACGAAUGAAUGAUGUGAAGGACUGUGAGGCAUUGCAGAGGGACCUGGAUAAAAUAUAGGAGUGGAGUGGUACGUGGCAGAUGGAAUUCAACCUUGAGAAAAGUAAAAAAAAAAUAGAGUUUGGUAGGAGUGGAAGAAGAUGUGAAUAUGAUUAUAAGAUGGGAAGUGAGAUAAUAUGCAGAGGAGUGGAAGAAAAAGAUUUGGGAGUGACUGUCUCAGAGAACAUGUCACCGGACAAACACAUCAACAGGAUAACGGGACAAACUAUGAAUUUGCUAAGGAACAUAAGGACAGCAUUUGUGUAUUUGGACAAAGAGAUGAUGAAGAAAAUAAUAGUUACAAUGAUAAGGCCAAAGUUGAAGUAUGCAGCAGCAGUCUGGUCUCCUCAUGAAAAGAACAUAAAAAAGCUGGAAAGAGUGCAGAGAGUGGCAACUAAGAUGGUACCGGAACUUAGAGAUCGGACCUAUGAGGAGAGACUCAAUAGCAUGGGGCUCACAACCCUGGAGAGAAGAAGAGAAAGAGGAGACCUGAUAGCGGUGUACAAGGUGGCGAUCGAAGUGGAGCAUUUGGACAGAGAGGACCUGUGUGUGUGAAACGAGAGAGGAAUGAGAGAACAUGGAAAGAAGUUGAGGGUGACCACGUGUAGGCGAGAUGUGAAAAAAGUUCAGCUUCCCAAACAGAAGCAUUGAGCUAUGGAAUAGGCCAGAGGAGAAGGUGGUUUGUGCAAGAAACAUUCAUGAUUUUAAGGAAAAGUUGAAUAAGAGCGGAUAUGGAGACAGGACAGCGCGAGUAUAGCUCUUUUCCCGUAUGUCACAACUAGGUAAAUACAACUAGGUAACUAGGUAAAUACACACACACACACACCAGAGCAGACACAGAGCAAACCAGACGUGUAGCGCGACCGUUCCCCGGGAAUCAUGGUCACCCCACUCCCUGUGCUGGGAUCAGCUAAUCGUUGCCAUCUGGUUACUAGUGUUUACAAAGGCCUGGCUGAUGAUUAUUGUGUUGGGCUUGUCUCCUAUUUUGACCAGUUUGUAAGAUGAGUGGGAGGGAGGAUGAUUUGGAGUGGAUAACACCAAGAAGAAACGGACAUGGAACACGAAGAAAGGAACGAAGGACGGUUAUAGGGAGCAGCGAGGACGAGGGUGAAGAUGAAAGGUACAAGCAUAGGUUUUCUGGAUUUGCGAGUAAAGAAUUGGCUUUACGAAUACAAAAGAAUUUUGCUUAUGGAAAGGAAACUAGACAAAUGGAUUAGAAUAUUCAAGAGCAGAGAUGAAGAAGAAUUAUAAAACAGAGAACUACAAAGGGAUCUCCGAUCACGAGUUCGCAAUUUAGAAGAAGGGGAAAAAACUGGUUCUAGAAAAUGAAGAGCUGAAAGAGAAGUUGGCAAAAUAUGAAAAAAGCAAUGAAGGAAGGCCUAGGAGUGGCAAGAAAGGAAAAUGAAAAUCUGAAAGAAAUAGUGAGCAAGGAGGAAGAGUCAAACAGGAGUGUUGGGUGAAAUGAAGACCUGGAAAGUAGAGCAUGAAAAAACUAAUGUAGACUUCCAGGAAAUAAUUGAAAAGCAACUAAAAGAGGAAAAGGAAAUCGUAGAAAAAGAGGUGGUCAAGGUCAUAAAAAAAAAAGAUUUAGUGAGAUGUAGCGGAUAAGAAAAAGUGUUAUAAUAUUUGGAAUGAAAGAGAAAAACAUAACAUAUAAACCAAAAAGGGAUAAGGAAGAACUUAAGUCAGUGAAGGACUUACUGAAAAACUUGAAUGACAAAGAAAUACAAAACCUUGAGGAGGAGGUGGAAGAGAUUGUUAAGAUGGGCCCUUAUAUAGAAGGUAGAACAAAGCCAGUUAAAUUAAGAUUAAAAGCACAAAAGGUAACUGAGGAAAUAUUGUACAGAACAACUAAACGAAGGGAAAUAGACGAAUGUAAGGAAAUAUAUAUUUAAAGAAAAAUAGAAAUGAAGAAGAAAGGAAGAAAUGGAAUGAAUUGCAAGCAGAGGCAAAAAAGAGAAAUAAUGCCAAAAAAAAAAAAAAAAGUUAUUUUUUUGGAGAGUUCUGAGAGACUGAGUAAAGAAAUGGUAUAUUAGGGAAAAGUCGAAAGAGAACAGAAGCUAGACAAGAUUGAAACAAAAAAGGGACUAAGUGUGAUGUAUACAAAUGUAGACAGGAUAAUAUCUAGAAAACUGGAACUACAAGACUACUUAAAGGAAAAAGAGCCCAAGAUUGUAUGCUUAAUGGAAACAAAGCUGAAUGAGGUCAUUCAAAUAGUGUUUGAUAAUAAUUACAAUGUAUGGAGGAAGGAUAGGAGAGGUAAAGGUGGUGGAGGAGGAGGAUAAUGACGAAGAAGGAGUUAUUAGUGAAAUCAGUAGUAUAUGGAGAAGGAAAGGCGGAAAUAGUGAGUGUUAAUCUAGAUUCUAGAGAAUAAAAACAGAGAAAUGAUGACAAUAAUAGCAACCUAUGUACCACCAAGAGCAAACUCAAAGAACAGAUAAGAAUAUGAGACCAUGAUUGAAGAUACCAUUCAGAGUUUGAGUAGAUUACUCAAAGCAAACAAAAGAGUCUUGUUAGUUGGAGACUUCAAGUGUAAGGAGGUAAAUUGGGAAACAUUUGAAAGUGGAGGUAAUGAAACGGCAUGGGGGGAAAGAUUUCUAAGAUUGACUAUGGAAAACUUGAUGAUGCAGUGGGUGACAGAGAACACAAGAUACAGGAAUGAUGAUGAACCGGUGAGACUGGACCUGGUGCCAACAAAGGGAAUGCACUUGUUAAAUGAAUUUAGAUAUGGGUGUCCCCAUGGAAAGAGUGAUCAUGUGAUCAUAGAGAUGGAAACAGGGGAGGAAGGCACAGAGGGGGACGAAUCAUAUAAAAGAAACAGGAGAAACUAUAGGAAGGCAGACAUGGAAAAUAUUAAGAAAUACUAUGGAGAGCUAAACUUGGAAAAGUUGAAGAGAAAAUGCGAAGUGCAGGAAAAGUAUAUUUUUAUGGAGGCGUAUGAAACAGGAGUCAUGAAAUAUGUCCCAUUAUAUAAACCCAAAGAAAAAGGAAAGAACGAUUGGUUUAAUGCAAGAUGUGCAGAUGCAAAGGAAAAAAGAGACAAAGCGUGGAAGAGAUUGAAAAGAAAUAAGAAUCAAAGGAAUAAAGAAGAUUUUAAGAUAGCAAGAAAUGAAUACGUGAAAAUAAGGAGGGAAAAAGAGAAAGGAUAUGAAAAGGAUAUUGUUGAAAAGUGCAAGGAAGAACCUAAACUGUUUUAUAGAUUCAUAAAUGGAAAAAUUAAACCAAGGAAAAAAGUAGGAAGACUGAAAGAUGGAAAUAAGGUAAUCAAAGAUUCUAAAGACAUGACUGAGCUGUUAAACAAGAGGUUCCAGCAAGUUUUUACAAAAGACUCACUAUUCAAUGAAUCACAAGAUGACAAGAUAAAUGUUCAUAUGGAUGAAGUCAUAGCAACUAAAGAGGAUAUAUAAAAUAAUGGAGGAGCUGGAAGAGAUUAAAGCAGUAGGACCGGAUGGAGUCUCAGGUUUUAUAUUGAAAGAAUGCAGAAAUCAGCUGGUUGGACCAGUAUAAGAUAUAAAGUGCUCAAUAUCAACUGGUAAAUUACCAAAGGAAUGGCGGAGGGCUGAGGUGGCCCCUAUAUAUAAGAGCGGUAAAAAGGAAGAACCUCUGAACUACAGACCAGUAUCAUUGACCUGUGUAGUUUGUGAAAUAUGCGAGAAAGUGAUAAAGACAAUGGACAAAAUUUCUAGAACAUUAUAUAAUUACAGAAAAACAGUAUGGCCUUAGAAAAGGGUGCUCAUGUGUAACAAACUUACUGAGCUUUUACUCAAGAGUGACAGACAUAAUACAAGAGAGGAACGGAUGGGUAAAUUGCGUGUACUUGGACCUGAAGAAGGCUUUUGACAAAGUUCCACAUACAAGACUACUAUGGAAGCUGGAAAAUAAAGGAGGUUUGAAAGGGAAAAUGAAAAACUGGAUGGAAAUUUACUUAACCCGUACAGUGUUUAGUACGUACAUAUACGUACCUCUUAGGGAAGUGUUUAGUACGUAUAUAUACGCAAGCUCUUUUGAGGGCUUAUACGCCCUUUGUUUUUGUUUGUGUAUAUAACAUUGUUCAUUGACAGUAAAGAGGAAUAAUUUGACAAGUCUUCGUAUUUUUAAAUGGAUGUUAAAGGGCCUUUCUGUACAUUUGUCUGCAUUCCAACAAAAAUCUUCAUACAAGAAGGUAAGUUACUUUCUUCUAGGUAAUACUCCUUGAUUCUAUAAUCAGUAAGGUAUGUGGAAUUGUAAAUAAUGGUUCAGAGUAAUCGGAAAUGAAAACUUAUCGUCGGAAGCUUCAUAGUGUUUUGUCGAACUUUGUGGAAUAUGGUUGUAGUACAGACGGCCUUGAAGCGAGCGGUGUUGCCUGAUGCGCAUCCAAUCAUUUUCUUGUACUUACAAUUCCUGUUUAUUUUUUUUAUUUUUUUAUUUUUUUAAAUAAAACAAACAAUCUAGGGUUCCAUUCCUUGCAUAGAAAUAAUAUAUAU